Molecule: long non-coding RNA, 321 nt
Organism: Mytilus californianus (California mussel)
Lineage: Eukaryota; Metazoa; Mollusca; Bivalvia; Mytilida; Mytilidae
Exons: 3
Source: RefSeq, a predicted model, not a curated record
AGGUAUUACAGUCUCCAGCUAUUACACUUAACAAGGUAUUACAGUCUCCAGCUAUUACACUUAACAAGGUAUUACAGUCUCCAGCUAUUACACUUAACGAGGUAUUACAGUCUCCAGCUAUUACACUUAACGAGGUAUUACAGUCUCCAGCUAUUACACUUAACAAGGUAUUACAGUCUCCAGCUAUUACACUUUACAAGGUAUUACAGUCUCCAGCUAUUACACUUAACAUGGUAUUACAGUCUCCAGCUAUUACACUUGACAAGGUAUUACAGUCUCCAGCUAUUACACUUAGCGAGGUAUUACAGUCUCCAACUAUUA